UACAGAGGAUGCAAGCGUUAUCCGGAAUGAUUGGGCGUAAAGCGUCUGUAGGUGGCUUUUUAAGUCCGCCGUCAAAUCCCAGGGCUCAACUCUGGACAGGCGGUGGAAACUACCAAGCUGGAGUACGGUAGGGGCAGAGGGAAUUUCCGGUGGAGCGGUGAAAUGCGUAGAUAUCGGAAGGAACACCAGUGGCGAAAGCGGCUUCCUGGUCCAGCACCGACGUUCAGGCACGAAAGCGUGGGGAGCAAACAGG
This 253-nucleotide ribosomal RNA is filed under the name uncultured bacterium. RNAcentral describes it as "partial 16S ribosomal RNA". It matches the Rfam family "Bacterial small subunit ribosomal RNA", at positions 524 to 776 of the family's 1533-position model. The record is from RNAcentral.